RNAcentral lists this ribosomal RNA (433 nucleotides) under uncultured bacterium. RNAcentral's name for it is "partial 16S ribosomal RNA". It matches the Rfam family "Bacterial small subunit ribosomal RNA", at positions 29 to 507 of the family's 1533-position model. The record is from RNAcentral.
AACGAACGCUGGCGGCAUGCCUAACACAUGCAAGUCGAACGAGACCUUCGGGUCUAGUGGCGCACGGGUGCGUAACGCGUGGGAACCUGCCCUUAGGUUCGGAAUAACUCCCCGAAAGGGGUGCUAAUACCGGAUAAUGUCUUCGGACCAAAGAUUUAUCGCCUUUGGAUGGGCCCGCGUUGGAUUAGCUAGUUGGUAGGGUAAAAGCCUACCAAGGCGACGAUCCAUAGCUGGUCUGAGAGGAUGAUCAGCCACACUGGAACUGAGACACGGCCCAGACUCCUACGGGAGGCAGCAGUGGGGAAUAUUGGACAAUGGGCGAAAGCCUGAUCCAGCAAUGCCGCGUGAGUGAUGAAGGCCUUAGGGUUGUAAAGCUCUUCUACCCGGGAUGAUAAUGACAGUACCGGGAGAAUAAGCUCCGGCUAACUCCGUG